AUGCUUAACACAUGCAAGUCGAACGUGCCUUCGGGCAAGUGGCAGACGGCUGAGUAACGCGUGAGUAACACACCCUUCGGUGGGGUAUAGCCUCGGGAAACUGAGGGUAAUCCCGCAUACGAUCCCUACGCUCUGGUGUAGGGAUGAAAGCCUUCGGGCGCCGGAGGAGUGGCUCGCGUCCUAUCAGGUAGUUGGUGAGGUAACGGCUCACCAAGCCGAUGACGGGUAGCUGGUCUUAGAGGACGAUCAGCCAGAGGGGGACUGAGACACGGCCCCCACUCCUACGGGAGGCAGCAGCAGGGAAUUUUGGGCAAUGGACGAAAGUCUGACCCAGCGACGUCGCGUGGGGGAUGAAGGCUCUAGGGCUGUAAACCCCUUUUCCGAGGGAAGAGGAAGGACGGUACCUCGGGAAUAAGCUCCGGCUAACUACGUGCCAGCAGCCGCGGUAAUACGUAGGGAGCGAGCGUUACCCGGAAUUACUGGGCGUAAAGAGCACGUAGGCGGUUGGAUAAGUCUUCUGUGAAAGCUCCUGGCUCAACUGGGAGAGGUCAGGGGAUACUAUUCGACUUGAGGGCUGUAGAGGUAAGCGGAAUUCCCGGUGUAGCGGUGAAAUGCGUAGAUAUCGGAAGGAACACCAGUGG
RNAcentral lists this ribosomal RNA (641 nucleotides) under uncultured bacterium. RNAcentral describes it as "bacterial SSU rRNA". It matches the Rfam family "Bacterial small subunit ribosomal RNA", at positions 44 to 715 of the family's 1533-position model. The record is from RNAcentral.